GCAGCCUCAUUAUUUUAUCCCCAUGGGCCAUGAAAAUAUCAUCAUUUUAUGUAAUAUUUGUGAGGUGAAAGGGUUUGGGAAGGACUGUUAAUCAGGAAUCAGUCUCUGGUUUAAUUUCUAAAGCCUAGAAAUACCCAAGUGGAGUUCACAGGAUACUUCAGUAUUUUUCCAUUCUAUCUCUCUCUCAUUUUUUCUGCAGUUAGGUUACAUGUAUUCUUGUGACUUCCCUUUAGAAUCCUAAUUGAGGUCAUAAUGAUAGUGAAGACGCCACUGCUCAGCCCCUUAGCUCAUCUCCAUACAUGGCAACUUCCAUGCUGUCUUCCUCACAGGGAGAGUCACCCUCAGGUGCUGAUUACUGAGUUGGAAAUUGUUGAGAAACAAGUACAAAAUCAUGUAUCUCUUCUACUGCCAUGAUCAAGCCCCAGUUCACACAAAUGAUAACGCAACAAACUGGAGCACACUGGAUUUUAUGUGGAAUCUUCUGGUGUAAUAACACGUUUCUGAUUUCAUGAGGUUUAAAUAUGUUGGUAAAAGAAUAAGUUCUGCACUUACUCAUUUACCUCCAUGCUGAACCAAAGUACUUACAAGAGAAUGUGAAAGUGAAUCAGAAGGGACGAACACACACAGAAAACCUUCCCUGACCUUUGGAAGUCAGAGAAUAGUCAACAAACUGAUUUAAGCAAUUUCACUGCUUUGAAGGUUUCAAAGAAGACUGAUUUCUGUUUGUUCAGCCACCAUUUGGAAGUGCAAAGAUCAAGGACAUCAAAAGUGUUAUCUGAACUUUUGAAUGUGUUUGUGAAAUUGCUAAUAUGUCAUGGAGGCAUUUUUCAGAGAUCUGCAUUGUGGCACUCUUUAUCUGUGUCAGUUUGGCAGGUGCCAUCUGAUCAAGUGAGUGGCCCUUCCGGCACACCAAAUGCCUUCCAAACUCCUUCCAAAGGCAUACAAGAGAGAAAAGAAAACCAGUCAUUUCCUGUGAUUGGGAGUUAGAGUCAACCAAAGGGCCUAUGAUGACUUCCUGAGGAUGUUUAGUUGGUCACUACCGUGGCUGACAGCUGGUGCAUGAAGCUUGUAGUCUACACUUCACAAGCAGCAGUAUUAAGUCUUCAAAAUCAUAAAGAAGUGCAGUUACGCUCUGCAGGAAGAACUACUUCAAUAAAGUUUAUCUGAGGGAGUCAGUCCAGGGCGAUAUGGUACUCCCCAUCAUCAGGGACC
Molecule: long non-coding RNA, 1212 nt
Organism: Panthera uncia (snow leopard)
Lineage: Eukaryota; Metazoa; Chordata; Mammalia; Carnivora; Felidae
Exons: 2
Source: RefSeq, a predicted model, not a curated record